GAUGAACGCUAGCUACAGGCCUAACACAUGCAAGUCGAGGGGAAACGGCAUUGAGUGCUUGCUCUCUUUGGACGUCGACCGGUGCCCGGGCGUGUAACGCGUAUCCAACUAUCCCAUUACUGUGGGAUAACAUGCCGAAAGGCAGACUAAUACCGCAUAGUCUUCUCUCACGGCAUCAGAUUUUUAGUGAAGACUUAUUGGUAAUGGAUGGGUAAUAGUCUGAUUAGUUUGUUGGCGGGGUAACUGCACACCAAGGCUACGGUCCGGAGGGGUUAUGAGGGGAAGGUCCCCCACAUUGGAACUGGCACACGGUCCAAACUCCUACGGGAGGCAGGAGUGGGGAAUAUUAGUCCAUGGACGGAAGUCUGAACCAGCCAAGGAGCGUGAAGGAUGACGGCCCUUGGGGGUUUAAACUGCUUUUGUAUGGGAAAAAAGUUAGGGACGUGUCCCUAUUUGCAGGAACCAAACGAAAAAGGACCGGCUAAUUCCGU
Molecule: ribosomal RNA, 491 nt
Filed under: uncultured bacterium
Lineage: Bacteria
Description: partial 16S ribosomal RNA
Rfam family: Bacterial small subunit ribosomal RNA
Source: RNAcentral